Macrobrachium nipponense is the source of this 741-nucleotide long non-coding RNA. RefSeq lists it as uncharacterized. NCBI's taxonomy places the organism in Eukaryota, Metazoa, Arthropoda, Malacostraca, Decapoda, Palaemonidae. The transcript is spliced from 3 exons. The record is from RefSeq and is a predicted model, not a curated record.
AAUAUUCAGAGCAGCAGAGGGAGGAGACUUGCAAACAGUCAGGAAUCUGAUCCAUCAAACUGGGCCAGAAAUCAGGAAAGCCAAGAGCCGUUGCACACUGCUGCAUGUUGCAGCUGCCAAUAACCACAUACAUAUUGUGAAGUUCUUGCUGAAGUACAUAAGUCCUAAUGUGACCAACAAGAACAAGCAAACCCCUGCUCAUUUGGCAGCCAUGGAAGGAUGCACAGACAUACUGAAAACCCUCCUGACUCAUCCCAGGAUCAUAACAGACAUGAAAGAUGUUUGGCAGAGGACAUACAAAGAUUGGGAUUCAAUGCUUCGAAUCGACCGAGCGGCAGCGGUUGUCCAAUAAUUUGUCAUCCAAGAAACAUUUACCCAGUAAAGUCCUUUUAUAUCCCCCAUGAUAUAACAAAAGUCUAAUCCUAAGUGACGGUAAUUUUUGUUAUAAAAUUAUGGGGGCAGGAACUAAGGAUUUUGAGUCUGUCGGGUAAAGUUGCAACCACCCAGUAUCCGGGUAAAAAGCAUUUCGUUUGUAAUAAUGCGGUAACUUCUGUUGGCAGGGUCUCUUUUCGAAGCUGUGAUGGCUAGCGAUGAGCACCAAACCAGAGAGCUUCUAGAACUGGGCGCCAAUCCACACAGCCAUGCGGGCAGCAGCCUAGUGUACUUCCCUGAAGAAGACUUAAACAUCACGACUGCUCAUCAAUUAGCCAUUUUCUUGGGUGAAAAGCCCAUCUUGGACAU